UGGGAUUGCUCAGUCAGUAGAGCAUGGAGCUCUUAUUCUCAGGGCGGUGGGUUCGAGCCCCACAAUGGGCAAAA
This is a non-coding RNA of Podarcis lilfordi (Lilford's wall lizard), 74 nucleotides long. The record is from the annotation of a GenBank genome assembly. NCBI's taxonomy places the organism in Eukaryota, Metazoa, Chordata, Lepidosauria, Squamata, Lacertidae.